This 323-nucleotide ribosomal RNA is filed under the name uncultured eukaryote. Its description in RNAcentral is "partial 18S ribosomal RNA". It matches the Rfam family "Eukaryotic small subunit ribosomal RNA", at positions 1470 to 1796 of the family's 1831-position model. The record is from RNAcentral.
CCCUUAGAUGUUCUGGGCCGCACGCGCGCUACACUGAUGCAUGCAACGAGUUCUAUCCUUGGCCGGAAGGCCUGGGUAAUCUGUGAACGUGCAUCGUGAUAGGGAUAGAUUAUUGCAAUUAUUAAUCUUGAACGAGGAAUUCCUAGUAAACGCAAGUCAUCAGCUUGCAUUGAUUACGUCCCUGCCCUUUGUACACACCGCCCGCCGCACCUACCGAUCGAAGGUAAUGAUGAGCCCUCAGGAUUGUGGCCUCGUCGCGUCAGCGUCUUGGCUGCGAGAAUCUGUGCAAAUCCCUACCUUUAGAGGAAGGUGAAGUCGUAACA